CACCAUACCAUGCUUUCCACCAGAGAAUUACGAGCAACAAGCUUAAAACUCAAAGGACUUGACGGUGUCCCACAUCGACCUAGAGGAGCCUGUCCUAUAAUCGAUACCCCCCGUUCCACCCAACCCCUACUAGCAAUAAUCCAGCCUAUAUACCGCCGUCGACAGUCUACCCCAUGAGGGUCCAUUAGUAGAUAUAAUAGUUAACAACUAAUACGUCAGGUCAAGGUGUAGCAAAUGUAGAGGAAGAGAUUGGCUACAUUUUUUGUUUUAAAACACACGGAAUGCACUAUGAAAUACCGCAUAAAGGCGAAUUUAGCAGUAAAAUAAACAAGAGUGUUUAUUUUAACAACGCUCUGGGACGCGU
RNAcentral lists this ribosomal RNA (364 nucleotides) under Mesalina brevirostris. RNAcentral's name for it is "partial 12S ribosomal RNA". It matches the Rfam family "Bacterial small subunit ribosomal RNA", at positions 853 to 1384 of the family's 1533-position model. Lineage: Eukaryota; Metazoa; Chordata; Lepidosauria; Squamata; Lacertidae. The record is from RNAcentral.